RNAcentral lists this ribosomal RNA (927 nucleotides) under Escherichia coli. Its description in RNAcentral is "partial 23S ribosomal RNA". It matches the Rfam family "Bacterial large subunit ribosomal RNA", at positions 224 to 1191 of the family's 2925-position model. The record is from RNAcentral. Lineage: Bacteria; Pseudomonadati; Pseudomonadota; Gammaproteobacteria; Enterobacterales; Enterobacteriaceae.
AUCAACCGAGAUUCCCCCAGUAGCGGCGAGCGAACGGGGAGGAGCCCAGAGCCUGAAUCAGUGUGUGUGUUAGUGGAAGCGUCUGGAAAGGCGCGCGAUACAGGGUGACAGCCCCGUACACAAAAAUGCACAUGCUGUGAGCUCGAUGAGUAGGGCGGGACACGUGGUAUCCUGUCUGAAUAUGGGGGGACCAUCCUCCAAGGCUAAAUACUCCUGACUGACCGAUAGUGAACCAGUACCGUGAGGGAAAGGCGAAAAGAACCCCGGCGAGGGGAGUGAAAAAGAACCUGAAACCGUGUACGUACAAGCAGUGGGAGCACGCUUCGGCGUGUGACUGCGUACCUUUUGUAUAAUGGGUCAGCGACUUAUAUUCUGUAGCAAGGUUAACCGAAUAGGGGAGCCGAAGGGAAACCGAGUCUUAACUGGGCGUUAAGUUGCAGGGUAUAGACCCGAAACCCGGUGAUCUAGCCAUGGGCAGGUUGAAGGUUGGGUAACACUAACUGGAGGACCGAACCGACUAAUGUUGAAAAAUUAGCGGAUGACUUGUGGCUGGGGGUGAAAGGCCAAUCAAACCGGGAGAUAGCUGGUUCUCCCCGAAAGCUAUUUAGGUAGCGCCUCGUGAAUUCAUCUCCGGGGGUAGAGCACUGUUUCGGCAAGGGGGUCAUCCCGACUUACCAACCCGAUGCAAACUGCGAAUACCGGAGAAUGUUAUCACGGGAGACACACGGCGGGUGCUAACGUCCGUCGUGAAGAGGGAAACAACCCAGACCGCCAGCUAAGGUCCCAAAGUCAUGGUUAAGUGGGAAACGAUGUGGGAAGGCCCAGACAGCCAGGAUGUUGGCUUAGAAGCAGCCAUCAUUUAAAGAAAGCGUAAUAGCUCACUGGUCGAGUCGGCCUGCGCGGAAGAUGUAACGGGGCUAAACCAUG